Molecule: long non-coding RNA, 756 nt
Filed under: Malus domestica (apple)
Lineage: Eukaryota; Viridiplantae; Streptophyta; Magnoliopsida; Rosales; Rosaceae
Description: long non-coding RNA (MDOM_LNC009999)
Source: RNAcentral
ACAAUAGACAUACGUAUUGCGUAGAGAAUUUCUCUCUAAUGUUAUGCUUUCAACUUUUGCAAUUAUAACUAAACCCAAACCUAUAUUUCGAGCUCCUACCACUAUCAUCACGUGACACAAAAUAAGAAGAAUCACCUUUAACUAUUUGGUCUAGUAACACAGUUUACAUUUUAUAAGGGAGGAUUCCGAGUAAACUCGCGAAUUACAAACAAAAACGAGAAGAAUCAUUACAAAUCUAAAACUUUAGCCACCCAAAAAUUGAACAUCAUUUCAGCUGCAGCAUGAAGAACGUUUCCCGGAUGAAGACUAAAACAUCACCAAAAAUAGCAUCAUUUCAGUAAUUUAGGAAGUGCUAAACGUCUGGUUAGUUGAUUAUUUCGUGGGGUUUUCCUCCUCAGCUAACGAAAAAGAUUGGAAAACCACAAAACCAGCCAUUAACAAAUUUAAAAUAACUUGGAUUUCUGUCUGUCUGCUCUCUGUGCCAAAGGAAGAAAAAAGACGAACAAAAGGAAAAAAAGGCAGUGGUGCUGUGGAGAAUUGGUGGGUUAUAUAAAUUGUGUACAAGAAAACUCACACACCUAGUUUUAAGAUGGAUGCACGCAUCAAAGUAUGUAGACAACAGAAACAAGGCUUUACUUGGCAAAUGUUACAAAUCCUUACCAAUUUACUACCGAACCCAAGUGCGUCUUGUUUUUCUUUUCCUUAUCCAUGAGGACUGGUCGAUUCAAAUUUUUAAAGGCCAUCUCCAGCAAGUGA